AACGGUAAAGGGCUUUUUGACGUACGAAGAAAGAAUCGUUUAGUUAACGCUUUUUUGUUCUGUUCCGUUCGAUGGCGGUGUAGGAUGUUGAAAAAUGAUUGUAAAUUUUUAAGUCAAAGUGAAUGGCAACAUCGAUCACAGAGAGUGUCUAGAAAAAUGGCGGCCAAGUGGUGUUCCAAAAUCCUGGGCUAAGUAGGCUUUUGCCUACGUAUGUUAAAAUAAAAAAAGAUAAAAUAUGAUGGAACCCUGGAAGAAAGUUUUGCCCACAAUAACAUCCGGAAUCACCUAUUUUAAUUCUACAUCUAAAGAGUCUCGAGUAACAUUGAACCUUUUUUUUUUCUUGUUAAAUACACGUCUAUUAUUUUUGCAACUUGUUAUUCUAUUGUAAAUAGAAUUCUAAUGCCCGUCACCAUAAUCCCUUGACCCUUUAUUGAUGAUGUUGCUCUCUGAAGACGUUUUCACAAAUGCAAUUUGUUAAAACGCUCGCGAAAGACUUGCGUGGAUUUAAUCAGGUUGCAAGAUUCAAUUUUCAACAUUGAUACGAGUCGAUUGUCUGUGUAUUCUAGAAAUAACCUUGUUCAAUGUAUCGCCGAAAGACAAUCUGAACACUGAAUGACGGGAAAGCUUUGCAUUGGACGAGAGCAAUACAUUCAUUAUGUUCCCCAA
Molecule: long non-coding RNA, 666 nt
Organism: Daphnia magna
Lineage: Eukaryota; Metazoa; Arthropoda; Branchiopoda; Diplostraca; Daphniidae
Exons: 2
Source: RefSeq, a predicted model, not a curated record